AUCCAUUCCUCUGUUGAUGGGCACUGUAGGCUGAUUUGAUUUCUGUGCUUUUGUGAUUACAGAAGCAAUAAGCAAGGGCGCGCAAGUUUCUCUGUGGGUUCUGGCCAUACCUAGAAGGGAGCGACUGAUGUCUAGAGAAGCAAACAUUCAUCGACUCCCCUGCGAUGUACUUACACCCCUAAAUAGAGUCGAGACUUGGUCUCAACUCCAAAGCACAAAUCGUCACUGGACACUGCCAUACUGAAGCAAGAUGCCUCUCACUGCCAACAUCAAAACAAAUUUCUCUCUUCAAAUGCAAAUUUUCCUGGACAGAAGACAUUAUUUAUGAUGGAAGCCUGCUGGAAGGAGAAGAUACAUUCAUUUUCCUGGCUCCCAGACAGCUAUGGAUCUGUCUGGGCUGUCAGGGAAUAACUUCCCCACAGACAAAUAUCAAGAUAACCAUACCUCAUGUUCAGUCUGGCAGAUCUUUGCCUGAGGUGGGGGUGGGAAGAGAGAGAGAAACACACAGAGAGAGAAACAGACAGACAGACAGACAGACAGACUAGAUGACAUUUCACCAAGUGAUCCUAUACUGAAAGGGAAGGCAUCUUGUUCUGAACGACUGAAUGAUGACUUCUUCAUAGCUCAAGACUUCUAGAGAGAAAAAGGAAAGAACUAACUAGAAGAGCACUGAGAUGUCUAAUCACACUGCUCAAGUGCCUGUGACAUUUUCACACCUGGAAAUUAGAAAAUAAUUAAGAAAUAAGACUGCUCCAAUGUUCAACUAGAUAGGUAUUAAAAUAUUUCCUUAAAGGCCAGUUUCAAAUUGCAGAAUAUAUUUCUACAAUAAAAUCACAAAACUAAUUGGUUAUUAUUUACAAUUUUAUAUAUACAUAAAAUAAUUUUUUGUUAAAAAUUAUUUAUUUAUUUAUUUAUUUAUUUAUUUUAUAUAUGUGAGUACACUGUAGCUAUCUUCAGAUAAACCAGAAGAGGGCAUCAGAUCCCAUUACAGAUGGUUGUGAGCUACCAUGUGGUUGCUGGGAAUUGAACUCAGGACCUCUGGAAGAGCAGUCAGUGCUCUUAACUCUUGAGCCAUUUCUCCAACCCUGUAAAUGAAAAAAUUUAAAGGAAAUCCUCAUCUUUAAACGGAUUUUUACCACUAAAGCAGCAGCCUAGCUACCUUGCUGCACUCCCAGAGGCAGCCGAAUGGAAAACGUUUGUUUCCGGUCGUGUUCCGAUUAGAGUUAUGAGACUGCCACCUUUACCCCAUCUCUAAAGCACAGUCUCGAAUCCGAGGCCACUCCUGAGUGUCAGCAUCUGAGGAGUUCCACGGCCAGGUAUGCUGCUCCUUGCUGAUUAUGACAUGCAGCUAUUCGGAUGAAUCAUCUUCUAACAUAGCUGAUUACUUCCCAGAUGAUUUUGAAAGCACUGCAGUACAGCAGGAGUUGAGACAAAAGCCAUCCUUCUGUCCAGAGUUCUAAGCUAGCUAUGAAAUAAUGUUACCAAUAAUCUAUCACAUUUAUCAGUUUAUUUAAAACCAAGAAUUAGGAGAUACUGGCUGAUCUACACACCCAGCCCUAGGAAAUAAUAUAAAAAGCAAUGAUGGAGGAAGAGAAGCACAGAGUCCCCAGCUGACUGGACCCACAGAAGAUGAAAAUGACCAUCAGGACAAACACUGAGCAACUGCAGAGCUGUACCACUGCAAUUAUCAUCAUCAUCAUUAUCAUCAUCAUCAUCAUUAGCUUCUGCCUGCAGACUCUGAAUUUUCCACAGUGAAUAGGUACCACCUCUGUGACAGCUAUUCUCACACUGGCUUGGUGAUUUAAGAGAUCAAGAAGGCACAUACCGGAAGAAUCUUGGGCAGUCACAUCCACACCGUGUGUCACCAUGACCUUGAGGCAUUCCACGUGUCCCUUCGCAGCGGCAAGGUGGAAACUGCAAGCAGAGAAGAGAACACAGUUCCUUAGGAGUCCAUCCUCACAGAGCACAACUUCAGCAAACCUUGACCUCUCCCUGUCUCCCUGGACACGCUUUCUCUCCUCCGAGACCCAAGGGGGCAAGCUAUCAACCUCACCGUGAGCACCACACACUCUGUAGGGUCUCAUCGUUUGGUCAUUUUAUACUGCUCUUCUUUUUUGGUGCUGGUGCUUGAAUCCAGAAUAUCAUAUAUUAACUCAGAGCUACACAUCUCCGGUCAAUCACUGUCAUCUUUUAUUAAGUGACAGAGUACAAACUUUCAACCCAAAGACAAGGCUCUUUCAAAACUGAGCCUCACCACAUCUUUGCCUCUUUCUCCACCCAGGCCGAGCUUCUAAGUAAUAAGUCAUUAACUUCCUCCCUGUUGUCCACUGCUCACGGCAAAAGCAUCCUUCUUAAACAACACCCUGUACUAAUGUAUUGGUCAAGCCAUGUCUGGUGUUGUUCUAGAGUUGAAGAACAGAGUCACAGGGAACUUUUGUUGAGCGUUCAGUAAAUGUCCAACAUCUUACCCACUUUUGUACAUCAUCUCUGUUCAUUCCCGUUAACAGCUUUUAUGGCGAGACUUAUAUCUGUGGUUGGCACAGGAGUAACAGGGUAAACAGCAAUGAAGUCUCCAACUGGGCUCCAGGACUCAGUGAUACUCAAACCACAUCUUUAGAAUGCCAUUAAAAGGAUUCACAUCCAAAUACCAUAGUAACCAUCCCUGCAGGUCCCUGAGAGAAGGACUUCAAGACCAGAAGCAGAUACUGUCUUUCAACAUGGAGUGAUGGCCUGGCUUUAUCACUCUCGCUCUUAUGGAGAGGGGCAGACAACGAGCCCUCCCUCCUAUGCCUCAGCUCUGUAUCCUCGGGAUAGAUAUUUCCUAUGUGGACUACCUCUGAAUUACAGCCCUGGAGUUUAGUGUCUACCUGUACAGUUUAUCUGCCAUCAGGGCCUGGAGCUGUGGUCAACUGGCAAAUGCAAGAUCUGAUGUCUAAACCCAGUGUGUGUGGUUGCAGACCUCUCUUUACAGCUAAGUGUAGUGAAUGGACACAUCACCAAAGGAGGGUACUUCAGGCCUGGGAGUAAAUCAGCAGCUAGAAAACAAAAGCUAAUCCUCUGUGUCUGGACAAAAUCCAUUCAGCUUCUCUUGAGCCUAAAUUCCCUUCGCUGUAAAGAAAAAACUGACUAAAGCCUACUGAGUCACCCAAUCAUGUUAUUUCAACGUGUGUAACUGGACCUAAGUACAAUCUCUUUACCAUCGGAAUUCACUCUGUAAGUUGUUCAUAUAUUAGUAAAAACAUGCUAGUUUGGAAAUGCGGUGACAGAUAGAAGCAGCAGUGACUGAUAUUUCACUGACAGAAUCCCGGUGAAACAAAUUUGCCCUGUAAGAAGCAGCUCCAAACUCUCUCGUUUGCUCCGCAUGGCUGAGGUCCUUCAUUCCAUGAUAAACGGAAAGCCGUCUAUCUUAACUGCCUUGGGGAAGCUUUCUGAAUGGGCCUCAGACACAGAAGUGGUAAAUAUAACUAACCGGUCUUG
Non-coding RNA from Mus caroli (Ryukyu mouse), 3477 nucleotides. Lineage: Eukaryota; Metazoa; Chordata; Mammalia; Rodentia; Muridae. The record is from RefSeq and is a predicted model, not a curated record.